AGAUAGGGGAAACCGUUCUGAAGGGGGCACUUUUUGCUUAAAGUUGUGCCUUCUCCUAUCGAAAGGGAAUCGGGUUAAUAUUCCCGAACCCGGUCGCGGAGAUCGGUGUUUCGGCACCUAGUCGGUAACGAAACGAACCCGGAGACGCUGGGAGAAGCCUGGGAAGAGUUCUCUCUUCUUU
RNAcentral lists this ribosomal RNA (181 nucleotides) under Notommata copeus. RNAcentral's name for it is "partial ribosomal RNA large subunit". It matches the Rfam family "Eukaryotic large subunit ribosomal RNA", at positions 1550 to 1702 of the family's 3401-position model. The record is from RNAcentral. Lineage: Eukaryota; Metazoa; Rotifera; Eurotatoria; Ploima; Notommatidae.